GUAGGGUGCAAGCGUUAAUCGGAAUUACUGGGCGUAAAGCGUGCGCAGGCGGUUUUGUAAGUCUGUCGUGAAAGCCCCGGGCUUAACCUGGGAAUUGCGAUGGAGACUGCAAGGCUUGAAUCUGGCAGAGGGGGUAGAAUUCCACGUGUAGCAGUGAAAUGCGUAGAGAUGUGGAGGAACACCGAUGGCGAAGGCAGCCCCCUGGGUCAAGAUUGACGCUCAUGCACGAAAGCGUGGGGGAGCAAACAGGAUUAGAUACCCUGGUAGUCCACGCCCUAAACGAUGUCUACUAGUUGUCGGGUCUUAAUUGACUUGGUAACGCAGCUAACGCGUGAAGUAGACCGCCUGGGGAGUACGGUCGCAAGAUUA
This 369-nucleotide ribosomal RNA is filed under the name uncultured organism. Its description in RNAcentral is "partial 16S ribosomal RNA". It matches the Rfam family "Bacterial small subunit ribosomal RNA", at positions 527 to 896 of the family's 1533-position model. The record is from RNAcentral.